UCUGGUGCCUUUUUUAGUUCAUUUGGUGAGGUCAUAUUUUCCUGGAUGUUCUUGGUGUCUGGGCAUUGAACAAUUAGCUAUUUAAUGUGGUCUUCACUCUCUGGACUUAUUUGCACCCAUCAUUAUGUUCCUCAACUUGUAUUGAAGUUAUGUUCCAACAAAACCAUCGUAAGUUGACAAUAUUGUAAGUUAUUUGGUUUUAUUGGGAUGUAACCGUAUCAUAAGUGAAGAAACAUCUGAAAGAAACAGAGAAGAAACAGAGAGAGACUUAAGGCAUUGGCUCAUACACUUGUAGAAGCUGGAGGAUAUUCUGGCAGGCUGGAGACUCACAAAUGAACCAAGGUUGCAGUUUGAGUCUGAAGGCAGUCUACUGGCAGAAUUCCUUCCUGAGGGAAGGUCAGUCU
Molecule: long non-coding RNA, 404 nt
Filed under: Pan troglodytes (chimpanzee)
Lineage: Eukaryota; Metazoa; Chordata; Mammalia; Primates; Hominidae
Description: long non-coding RNA NONPTRT011837
Source: RNAcentral